CGGCGUGCCGCAGGCCGAAAACUGCGGCGGUGGGUGCGUCCCACCCGAAAGG
This 52-nucleotide non-coding RNA is filed under the name unclassified sequences. The record is from Rfam.